Pseudophryne corroboree (corroboree frog) is the source of this 4271-nucleotide long non-coding RNA. RefSeq lists it as uncharacterized. The transcript is spliced from 2 exons. The record is from RefSeq and is a predicted model, not a curated record. Lineage: Eukaryota; Metazoa; Chordata; Amphibia; Anura; Myobatrachidae.
GGUGUUGGGGCAUGGGAUUUGGGAGGGUGGGUGGGGGGAUGACUCCGAAUCCCUGUUGUAAAUGAGGCUGCACCACUGAGCGAUGAGUUGGAAAGUGGGGAAGUAGAUGUUGGGAGUCUUUCUUACAUAUAACCGUGGACAUGGUGUAUAAAGGGGAAGUAUAUAUCAAUAUAUUUCUUAUGUUCUGCACAAUAAUAGUUGUACUUUCCACUCUUUUACGUUACGUGUAAUUGCAUAAUUCAUCCUAUAUGUGUUUCUGCCGAAGCUUGGGGUGUCUCUUCUCUGGGGACACCCUCUUAAGUUGGAAAGCCGUGUCUUGCCAUGGCUCACAUGCUGCGCUGUCCUCUUGAGGCUGCUGUAGACUGUGUAGAGCCACUUUUAUUUUUUAAUCUGUAAAGAGCCAUCUCUUACCAGUGAGCUCAAUGAUGAUCUGUCUUGGCCUCCGGCAGUCUCCCAACGAGAGACUACUUGUGGGAUAAGGAGAGUUCUGGUUUGUGGUCCCUGCUGUUGUUGAGAUCACUGGCAAGAUGUGACUUCACAGGUAUGCUAAAUAUAUAGAAUAUACUUCACCUUUAUACAAUGCAAUGUGUAAGUGAUGAGAGCACGGUCUGCGGUCUGUUGAGUGAUGUCACCAGUAAUCACAGAUUCCGGGGGAGCACUUAUUGUGAUCUACGUUACAUGGUUUCUUAUAAGCCGGAUCUGAUGUAGAAAGACAGAACCGCCUGACCUGCCUUUACGCACAUUGCCAUGUCUGAUGUAGAACCAGAAAGGGGUCAGGAACGCUGUGCACUUGGACCAUGUCAGACAGAUGGUGAAUGGUCUGUGGAGGCCUCUCAUGGUCGCUCCUACUUUUCAUGCUGCUGACCUGCGUUUCAUGGAGUAAGUCAUGUCCUGUAGAGCUGGGGUGACGCGUAUAGUUAUCCUGUAUCUUCCACAAUGCAUGUGCAUGAACUGGUAUGCCUCCAUUGUCUCACUUGCAAAUGUAUGGGGCACAAGAAAGAUGGAGGACAGUGCGAGCUCAAUGCUAUUCCCACGGUCCUGAUGGAACCACCCAAUACUCAGUGCCACUCAAGAUGCAUUGUGUGCCAGUCCCUGGUAACAACCUUAAUUAGUAGUAUUGCAUACAUACCUGUAAUUUUUGUCAUAAGAAUAAUUUAAAAUGUGGAGCAGGGGGGGAGUUUUUCUCCCCCUUGUGGAUGUGACUUGUGAAUAUCACUGUCAUGUCUGCCUUGGAGCUGUUGACACCUCUUUAUAUGCAAUGUGGUUCAAUCGAGACUCUGUACCCUCUUCUCUCGUGCCUCCUUCCCUGCCAGCCCCUCAUUUUCUUAGUGCCCCCAUCACCUAUACUGCGAGCUAGCAAGUUUGCAGGCUGUGCCAGUGCUUGUGACUAUGCGGAGCGCCUCCCUGACCUCACCAGUUCCUGGUGAAUACGGUAUGCCGACGAUACGGCACAGCCUGCAAACUGGCUGACUCCGGCCGGUAUAGGUGAUAGUGGGGGGGCACUAUAAGACAUUAAGCUCCACUAUGCCUGUACCAAAAGCAGCCUUUAUGCCUCAAAUUCUUGUACCGUUCAUUUCGGCACGUUCCCUGACGCCCCCCCUGUAAGAUCUUAUAUAUAUGUAUAUGUAUGCACAAGGCUAUCUGGUUUAUUUGUACGCAACCCUUUAACUGCCAGCAGAGCAUUGCAGAAUUGGUUUGAUCAUGCAAAGCACCAAUGCCUCUGGUAAUGAAAGGGGAUUUGCUCCUUCCCCACUUUCGUUUUGUCAACUCUGUUUCUGCUGUGCUCCAGCUGUGAAAAGGUUGAUCGCAGUGUUACAUGAAACUGUUAGUUUUUUGUUUUAUAUCGCCCUUCAGAUAUGUACAUUUUUGUUUUUCCUUUAAACCCAGAUUGCUGCUUUUUUUUUUUUUUUUUUUUUGUAUUUUUCUUUAUUUUGUUUCCUUUUUUUUUUUUUUUUUUUUGCACUGUGUGGAGGGUCCAAGUGGGCAAAAGGGAGGUUUAUAGAUGCGUAGUAGACCUCACUUUGUUUUUUACCCGUUACUCUCUGGCUUCAGGGUUUUACUGGUUAAGGUGGUCCUCCCUCCCCCCCUCAUAAAUUAAUUUUCCUUCCUUCCCUCUUAAGAGGCCACUGGCCACAAUUUUAAUAAAGGUUAGUAAAAGGUGUCCUCGGCCCCAUUCCAUGACUAAGAUUGGUCUGUCCCCAUGUUUUUACUGUAGCUUUGCUAUGUUGUUGGACCACCGGCAGUAGUAAGUGAUGUUAGAAGUAUGGGUACAUGUGCUUAUUUGUAAAGUAACACAAUGAGAAGAUGCAUUGUACAUUCCUCACUCCAGUCUCUGGGAUACUUGUGGCAGGAGAAUUAGUGUUUUAUAAUUUUAGAGAUUUGUGAAUACGCCCUCUUGUUUUCAGCAUCGCUGCACCCGCUGUGGUUUGUUCCAAACCGCCGAGUAUCUCCGCGCAGUGAGUAAGGGGGUCGGUGUCUUAAAUGUCCGCAUCUUAAAGAGCGACCCUCCAAAACGUUUCUGCUGCCAAAGCAGCUUUUGGUUUUAUUGCACAGACUAAGAAGGUGGAAGGGGGUCCAGAUCCAUAAGUAGAAGGCGGUGACCUGCAGCUAGUUCCUCUCACAAUCCUACCUCCUCCCCUGGCCCUGUCUGGUUUAGUCCUUUGUUUAGUCCUUUUUAAUAACACCCACACACUACAGAGGGUGACAGGGGGCUCUCCCUUUUCCCCACUCCUCCAUCGCAGUGCUGUUUUUUUGUUGUUGGGUUUUUUUUUUUUUAUAUUCUUACUAGUCUUAUUUAAGCCAACAGCCAAAAAAACAAAAAAAAAUAAAUAAAUUUUUUUGCUGGAAUGUAAUAAAUUGUCAAAGUAUGAACAGAAUCCUGGCUGUGACGUUUUCAUGUGCAAUUUGUUUGAGGCUGUUGUGUAGGUUUGGAUGCUGACGGAACAGAUGCCCUGUGGUUUAUUCUGUGCUCACUGGCUGACACCUCGGCAAAUGUGUCACGUCCGUGAACGUGCUCUGAAGCAUUCCAACACCGAUAGCCUGGGUAACUGGAUGUUACUCGGAACAGCAACGGACACCUUGAGCAGUUUGCAGGGACCACAUGGUAGUUAAUUCGGGUUUUAUGAGGCGAGAAUAGCCAAAUGUGUCCCUUUUAAUCGGUUUGUAUAAAGCUAUUUUGAUGUUUGUCAAUAUGUCUUGUCUAUUCUCUCCAAGUCUGCAGCUUCUGGUCAGGAAAAGGUUCUAGUGGGGGAACGUUGCUACAUGUCCUUGGAGCACAGACACAAUUAAUGGCUGACAGACACCAAGGACGAUUGGUCUAAAUUAUUCAUCGGUUUUAUAAAUUCUAGCUUCUUCAGGCUUACCUGUGACUUUGUAGCUUCCUGAUGUAUCGGACGCCCUGACUCCAACCUAAACCGCUUAUCUUGUGGACAGUGGUUGAAGAUCUGCCUACCAUUUUGUGUUGCUCUUCAUGUGGCUGCCAAAUGACCAACUGAAGGAGGAACAAGAAUUCUGUGAAGUUUAGAUGCAGGACCAUUUCAUGAGGAAUCCUGGAGGCCAAGUAGAAUGGGUGUAGAGAAGAACACAGGUUGAGGAGCAAACACUAUCCCUUGACAAGGAACCAGGGAGGAUUGCAAAUCCUAAUGCAUGGUGAAUCCAGAGGCAUAUACAGCAGACAAGUGGUCAGGACUGUUUCUUGUUUUCAUGUGAAAAACAGGAGCAGAUAGUUUGCAGAAAUGUAUAGAAGGAUAUGCCCACCUUGUCCAGAAUGUAUAGGCAAGUCGAGGAACCGAGAUCCAGGGAAUUGCAUGGUCAGUACCAAGGUGGGACAUCGGGAUUCGAUUAUUGUCGGAGAGGCCAGAAAUUAAUGUAGUCGUCACUGGUAGAAGGAGCAUACAUGCCGCCAUAGAUGUUGCUUCCAGGGAUCAGAGAUGGUGGUUUCCCUAACAAUGCUCACACUGCAAGAGAUCCUGACCUGAUCAAUGUGGGACAGUUAUUGGACACUAACAAGCUCCAGUGAUGCUGCACAGCCAGAGGGAAGAGCGGCAGGAUCAUGUCUGGUUUCUCUACUUGCAAAUGUUUGGAUAACCUUGGCACUUCGGGAAAGCAACAGCACGGACUGUUAUGACUAUCUGUGUGUAGAUAUCUGUCAGUAACCAGAGGUAUGCAGUUACACUUGAUUGGAGAUUAUAGAACAAUGUAUGAAAGACGAAUGAUUAGGGAGGAGAGGAGUGCUAGGUUAUUACUAAUUAAAGACUCAUUAACCUCACAAA